CCCUUAGAUGUUCUGGGCCGCACGCGCGCUACACUGACGAAUGCAACGAGCUUAUAACCUUGGCCGAAAGGUCUGGGUAAUCUCCAAAUUUCGUCGUGAUGGGGAUAGAUUAUUGCAAUUAUUAAUCUUCAACGAGGAAUGCCUAGUAAGCGCAAGUCAUCAGCUUGCGUUGAUUACGUCCCUCCCCUUUGUACACACCGCCCGUCGCUCCUACCGAUUGAAUGGUCCGGUGAAGCGUUCGGACCGUGGCCUUUGGACGGUUCGCCGUCUGUUGGCUGCGGGAAGUUCGUUAAACCUUAUCAUUUAGAGGAAGGAGAAGUCGUAACA
This 327-nucleotide ribosomal RNA is filed under the name uncultured eukaryote. RNAcentral's name for it is "partial 18S ribosomal RNA". It matches the Rfam family "Eukaryotic small subunit ribosomal RNA", at positions 1470 to 1796 of the family's 1831-position model. The record is from RNAcentral.